AGACAAACAGCUUUAGCUGCCCUUACAGAUACCCAUAGCCCUAUAGCAUUGGACAAAGUACAGUUCAACAAGAGAAAAACAAUUCAAAUUCAGUGUUUAGUACAGCAGUGCCUGGAUGAAGGGGUGAGUGGAGGAUGUAAUGACAGUACUAAAUCAGGACAAACUGUACUGACCACCUACAGCAAGGAAUAUUUUCUUGUAUUAUAAAUGUCCAUGGUUGCAAAGUAAAUAAAAAAGUAACCUAAAAGUAAAUGUACUCUUGAGGUAACCACAAUAUGCUUUCCAAACUGACAUCUAACAUUAAGCCUCCUCAGUAAAGGAUUGUUUUUAAUUCAACUCAUGCCUUAGGAGUGUCUGCAUUUUAUCUCACGUUGACCACCUACAUGGGAUUUUUUCCAUGCUAGGUAUUAAAGCUGUCCAAAUAGUCAAUGGGGUGACAUAGAUACUUCAACCUGAGCAUGUUCUACGUGGAGGAGAUAAAACUCCUUUGGGAAGGACUAUUCUUCCCCAUGGAUAGAAAAUAACCUGGCUGAUUAGCUUGCCUAUAAGAAGAAGCCUAGGAGGUAGGUGGCUGGAUCUGUCUGAGCUGUACACUACAGGCCCUACACUUUUCAGGAGAGGAUGCAGCUGUGCAUUUAUUUAUUCUUUCAGUGUUGGUGGGAUCUUGGAUCCUUACAGUCUUUCAGCAGGUUUACUGAACACAGAUGAGUUAAAUGGGGGGGGGGGGGGGGGAGGAGGGAGAGAGUAGGAGGAGGUUGCAGUUUCUUCUGGUAUUGGACCAAAGUAAAUCUGCUAUAUCUUCUUUCCACAGCAAAGAACUUGGAGCUAGGCUGAUGCACUUGCAUGGGAGAUGAGAGGCACAGCCGUUUCCCCCUGUGGCGCGCUUGCCCUGACCUGCUUCCAGGGCAGCCAGACAUAACACAGAAAACACGUGACCUCAUCCGCCGUCAAAACAAACCAUUAAAAGCAGAAGCUUAAGACUGAUUUAGGACCCUCUGGUCUUCAAAUGGUGUCUGACUUUUUUUGAUCUGCUAACUGAUCACAGGUGGAUGAAAGGGGAUCUCUGAGACAAUUAACUGUGAAUUCAACUGGUUCACUGUUACAAAGGGGGGCAGCUAGAGUUUCUCCAGCAUUAAAAAAGCAGCAUUUGAUGAUUGCAUAGCAAAGGCAUGAAUGAAAAGCAGAGGAUGAAAACACGCUCCACUUAAUAUCCAUGCUAAAAAUUCUGCCCUAAGUGUCACUUCCUCUCAGUUAUAUUCUUGGUUCUACCCUCAGUAAUGUUUCUUAUCAACAGCAUCAAAUAUUCUGUGACAAACACAGGCACAGCUAAAAAAUAACCAAUAAAAGCACAGUAAAUAUAAAAAACUUAGUGAUG
Molecule: long non-coding RNA, 1375 nt
Filed under: Anas platyrhynchos platyrhynchos (common mallard)
Lineage: Eukaryota; Metazoa; Chordata; Aves; Anseriformes; Anatidae
Description: lncRNA (ENSAPLG00000026254.1)
Source: RNAcentral